UGGGAAAUGAUGACUUUCUAAAGAUG
This 26-nucleotide non-coding RNA is filed under the name Mus musculus (house mouse). The record is from RNAcentral. Lineage: Eukaryota; Metazoa; Chordata; Mammalia; Rodentia; Muridae.